UACGGAGGGUGCGAGCGUUGUUCGGAAUCACUGGGCGUAAAGGGCGUGUAGGCGGUCCGCUAAGUCUGAUGUGAAAGCCCGGGGCUCACCCCCGGAAGUGCAUUGGAAACUGGCGGACUCGAGUCCCGGAGAGGAGAAUGGAACUCCUGGUGUAGCGGUGAAAUGCGCAGAUAUCAGGAAGAACACCCGUGGCGAAGGCGGUUCUCUGGGACGGUACUGACGCUGAGACGCGAAAGCGUGGGGAGCGAACAGG
This 253-nucleotide ribosomal RNA is filed under the name uncultured bacterium. RNAcentral describes it as "partial 16S ribosomal RNA". It matches the Rfam family "Bacterial small subunit ribosomal RNA", at positions 524 to 776 of the family's 1533-position model. The record is from RNAcentral.